Molecule: long non-coding RNA, 788 nt
Organism: Ostrea edulis (European flat oyster)
Lineage: Eukaryota; Metazoa; Mollusca; Bivalvia; Ostreida; Ostreidae
Exons: 3
Source: RefSeq, a predicted model, not a curated record
AAAAAUGGCGGGAAGAAGCUGUCAAAGUGGAUGUCCCUGUGGUGGAAGAGGAUGAUGAUGAUGAACACACCAGUACUGUACCCUGAGCAGACAUUAGACUUGAAAUGACAAUUAGAACUCAAGUAAAUAAACUUAGCGGUAAAGUAAGCUAAGAUCAGUGAACGACCCGCUCAGACAGGACGACAGAUCUAUAGGCGUAGACGAUGUAUAGGCAUAAUGGACACUUUUCGUUGAACAGCUGUUGAAACGGACACUUUCAGAGAAAUCAACAGACACUUUCAGAGAAAUCAACGGACACUUUCCACUGAAUUUCCAAAAUAAGAAUGGAGUUCUUGACAAAUGAAGUCUCUUGUCGAAAAAGAAAGCGAUAUUGGGCUUUCAUGAUGCCAGUUAAAGGUAAGAAAAUCAGUUGAGAAAUUCUACCAUGUGUACACUGUAGGUAUAAGUUUGUGAUUUCAGACACCUUGAUAAACAUGAGAUCAGACAUUGUUCUCCAAACUGAAAACUUUCAUAAUUAAUCUUGUGUACAAUGCAGUUCGUUUCAUUCUUUACCAGUUUUAAAUUGAAGAGGUCGUGAAUUCCAUUUGUGAAAUAUUAUUAGCUCAAGUGAGCUUUAAUUUCUUAUCAAAAUUUGUAUGUGAACUGUUGUUCACAUUUUCAUCUCUUUUUUUUCAGAACCACUGGGCCAAUUUCACCAAACUUGGCUCAAAGCAUCCUUAGGUGAAAGACUUUCAAGUUUGUUCAAAUGAAGGGCCAUGCCUCCUUGAAAGGGGAGAUAAUCACAAAAA